GUCUUCGUGGUGUAGUGGUCAGCACGCUCGACGCGUAACCGAGAGGUCCAUGGUUCGAUUCCCGGCGAAGGCG
RNAcentral lists this transfer RNA (73 nucleotides) under Stegodyphus mimosarum. It matches the Rfam family "tRNA". Rfam says of the family: Transfer RNA (tRNA) molecules are approximately 80 nucleotides in length. Their secondary structure includes four short double-helical elements and three loops (D, anti-codon, and T loops). The record is from Rfam by way of RNAcentral. Lineage: Eukaryota; Metazoa; Arthropoda; Arachnida; Araneae; Eresidae.